UGCACGGUGGGUGGGGCUUUUCGGCUCCUGGACCGCGGUCUGAAGGGCCCGGUGCGUGAGCUCUGCCUUGGGUGCCCGCGAGCCAAUGAGACUAGACUCGGCACAGAGGACAAGACGCAAACAGGGGAGGAAGAAUAAUUUAUUGGUCACUAAUUCAGAGCCAUCAACGGCAUCCUGCGAGACACCAUCCAGACUUCCUUACGAGUGGACAGGACUGCAAGGGAACAUGGGAAAUUGAACAUAAUUGACAGAGACAAGAUUCCAGAGUAGAAGGACUCAAGAUCACCUCCUCUCACAAAAACAC
Non-coding RNA from Sus scrofa (pig), 304 nucleotides. NCBI's taxonomy places the organism in Eukaryota, Metazoa, Chordata, Mammalia, Artiodactyla, Suidae. The record is from RefSeq and is a predicted model, not a curated record.